AUGCCGACUGAGAAGAAACUCACCAAGGAAGACACUUGGAAACCAGCCGAGCUGACCAAACACAUGAGGGACGCUGGUCAUGGAGACAGGAGGAGGGAGGAGAGAGAGAGGAGGGCGAGAGACAACACCAAAGAGGAGGAGAGAGAGAGCAGGAGGGCGAGAGACAAUAAGGAUGAGGAGAGAGAGAGAAGGCGGUCGAGAGACCCCAGGGAAGAGAGACACGUAGAGAGGAAGAGAGAGGGAGCGGAGGAGAGAGAGAAGGAGAGGAGGAGGAGGGAGGGAGGAGCAGAGAGAGAUAAGGAGAGGAGGAGAGAAGGAGGAGAGGAGAGAGAGAAGGAAAGGAGGAGAGAGGGAGGUGCAGAGAGAGAGAAGGAGAGAAGAGAAGGAGGAGAGGAGAGAGAGAAGGAGAGGAGGACAGAAGGAGAGGAGAGAGAGAAGGAGAGGAAGAUAGAGAGGGAUGCAGAUACGAGAGGACCUGAUAGAGGCCCCCAGAGACACCGAGAAGGAGAGAGAGAGAGGCACAAAGACCGGGCGAGGGAGAGAGACAUAGGAGACGAGAAGGAUAAAAGGAGAGAGGAGAGAGAGGGGCAUAGGAGGAGAGAGGGAGGGAGAGAGAGGGAAGGAGAGGAGAGAGAGAAACACAAAGAGAGGGAGCAUCGGGAAGAGGGCGAUCGACGGCACGAUGAACGGCCCGACAAAGCACGACGAGUAAGACGCUCCGAGGAGAAGGAGGAAGGUAGGUUCACCUCCUUCUGCUCACGGUGCUCCUGGUGGUUCUCCUCACCGGAGCAGGAACCCUCACGAUUCUCUGAUUUCAGAGAAAAACAAAGAACCCAGAAGAGACGGAGACAGGAGGAGGAAGCAGGAGGACGGAGAGAGGGGGAAGGAGGACGAGAGAGAGAGGAGAAGAGAGAAGGAGGCGAGGAGACGAGAGAAGGAGGAUGGAGCAGGGAGGGAUGA
This 960-nucleotide long non-coding RNA is filed under the name Gadus morhua (Atlantic cod). Its description in RNAcentral is "lncRNA (ENSGMOG00000026854.1)". Lineage: Eukaryota; Metazoa; Chordata; Actinopteri; Gadiformes; Gadidae. The record is from RNAcentral.